AAGGUUUCCGUAGGUGAACCUGCGGAAGGAUCAUUAUUGAAUAACUAAGGCGCUGUGCUGGCCCUCUCGGGGGGAAUGUGCACGCGCCUUUUUAUUAUCAUCUUCUUGUGAACCAGUGUAGUCGUAGAGGAUUGUUGCCUUGAGCGUGAAAGCGUUCUAUAUGGCUUCGUUCCAACGCGUCUAUGAUUUUAUAUACCAAAUUUUAAACCUAGAAUGUCAUUUUGCUUGACCGAAAAGUCAGUGAAACCUAUACAACUUUCAGCAACGGAUCUCUUGGCUCUCCCAUCGAUGAAGAACGCAGCGAAAUGCGAUAAGUAAUGUGAAUUGCAGAAUUCAGUGAAUCAUCGAAUCUUUGAACGCACCUUGCGCCCUUUGGUAUUCCGAAGGGCAUGCCUGUUUGAGUGUCAUUAAAUUCUCAACCUUGAACCAGUUUGCUCUGGUUUCAAGGCUUGGAUGUGAGGGCUUUGCUGGCUUCCUUCAGUGGCGGUCUGCUCCCUUUAAAUGCAUUAGUGGGAUCCUUUGUGGACGGUCACUUGGUGUGAUAAUUUAUCUACGCCUAUCGACCUGAAGCAAAACCUAUGGGAACCCGCUCAUAACCGUCCCUUGUGGACAAUUUUCUGACCAUUUGACCUCAAAUCAGGUAGGACUACCCGCUGAACUUAAGCAUAUCAAUAAGCGGAGGAAAAGAAACUAACAAGGAUUCCCCUAGU
Molecule: ribosomal RNA, 710 nt
Filed under: Mycena cyanorhiza
Lineage: Eukaryota; Fungi; Basidiomycota; Agaricomycetes; Agaricales; Mycenaceae
Description: eukaryotic LSU rRNA
Rfam family: 5.8S ribosomal RNA (bases 254-407)
Source: RNAcentral